RNAcentral lists this ribosomal RNA (497 nucleotides) under uncultured bacterium. RNAcentral describes it as "partial 16S ribosomal RNA". It matches the Rfam family "Bacterial small subunit ribosomal RNA", at positions 28 to 507 of the family's 1533-position model. The record is from RNAcentral.
GAUGAACGCUGGCGGCGUGCCUAAUACAUGCAAGUCGAGCGAACAGACGAGGAGCUUGCUCCUCUGACGUUAGCGGCGGACGGGUGAGUAACACGUGGAUAACCUACCUAUAAGACUGGGAUAACUUCGGGAAACCGGAGCUAAUACCGGAUAACUUGUUGAACCGCAUGGUUCAACAGUGAAAGACGGUCUUGCUGUCACUUAUAGAUGGAUCCGCGCCGCAUUAGCUAGUUGGUAAGGUAACGGCUUACCAAGGCAACGAUGCGUAGCCGACCUGAGAGGGUGAUCGGCCACACUGGAACUGAGACACGGUCCAGACUCCUACGGGAGGCAGCAGUAGGGAAUCUUCCGCAAUGGGCGAAAGCCUGACGGAGCAACGCCGCGUGAGUGAAGAAGGUCUUCGGAUCGUAAAACUCUGUUAUUAGGGAAGAACAAAUGUGUAAGUAACUAUGCACGUCUUGACGGUACCUAAUCAGAAAGCCACGGCUAACUACGUG